Molecule: ribosomal RNA, 440 nt
Filed under: uncultured bacterium
Lineage: Bacteria
Description: partial 16S ribosomal RNA
Rfam family: Bacterial small subunit ribosomal RNA
Source: RNAcentral
CCUACGGGUGGCAGCAGUGGGGAAUAUUGCACAAUGGGGGAAACCCUGAUGCAGCAACGCCGCGUGAGUGAAGAAGGAUUUCGGGAUGUAAAGCUCUAUCAGCAGGGAAGAAGAUGACGGUACCUGAGUAAGAAGCCCCGGCUAACUACGGGCCAGCAGCCGCGGUAAGACGUAGGGGGCAAGCGUUAUCCGGAUUUACUGGGUGUAAAGGGAGCGCAGCCGGCAGUGCAAGUCUGGAGUGAAAGCCCGGGGCCCAACCCCGGAACUGCUCUGGAAACUGUGCGGCUAGAGUACUGGAGGGGCAGGCGGAAUUCCUAGUGUAGCGGUGCAUUGCGUAGAUAUUAGGAGGAACACCAGUGGCGAAGGCGGCCUGCUGGACAGUACCUGCCGUUGCGGCUCGCACGCGUGGGGAGCAAACAGGAUUAGAUACCCCAGUAGUC